GGGACACGUGGUAUCCUGUCUGAAUAUGGGGGGACCAUCCUCCAAGGCUAAAUACUCCUGACUGACCGAUAGUGAACCAGUACCGUGAGGGAAAGGCGAAAAGAACCCCGGCGAGGGGAGUGAAAAAGAACCUGAAACCGUGUACGUACAAGCAGUGGGAGCCUCUUAAUGGGGUGACUGCGUACCUUUUGUAUAAUGGGUCAGCGACUUAUAUUCUGUAGCAAGGUUAACCGAAUAGGGGAGCCGAAGGGAAACCGAGUCUUAACUGGGCGUUAAGUUGCAGGGUAUAGACCCGAAACCCGGUGAUCUAGCCAUGGGCAGGUUGAAGGUUGGGUAACACUAACUGGAGGACCGAACCGACUAAUGUUGAAAAAUUAGCGGAUGACUUGUGGCUGGGGGUGAAAGGCCAAUCAAACCGGGAGAUAGCUGGUUCUCCCCGAAAGCUAUUUAGGUAGCGCCUCGUGAAUUCAUCUCCGGGGGUAGAGCACUGUUUCGGCAAGGGGGUCAUCCCGACUUACCAACCCGAUGCAAACUGCGAAUACCGGAGAAUGUUAUCACGGGAGACACACGGCGGGUGCUAACGUCCGUCGUGAAGAGGGAAACAACCCAGACCGCCAGCUAAGGUCCCAAAGUCAUGGUUAAGUGGGAAACGAUGUGGGAAGGCCCAGACAGCCAGGAUGUUGGCUUAGAAGCAGCCAUCAUUUAAAGAAAGCGUAAUAGCUCACUGGUCGAGUCGGCCUGCGCGGAAGAUGUAACGGGGCUAAACCAUGCACCGAAGCUGCGGCAGCGACACUAUGUGUUGUUGGGUAGGGGAGCGUUCUGUAAGCCUGUGAAGGUGGCCUGUGAGGGUUGCUGGAGGUAUCAGAAGUGCGAAUGCUGACAUAAGUAACGAUAAAGCGGGUGAAAAGCCCGCUCGCCGGAAGACCAAGGGUUCCUGUCCAACGUUAAUCGGGGCAGGGUGAGUCGACCCCUAAGGCGAGGCCGAAAGGCGUAGUCGAUGGGAAACAGGUUAAUAUUCCUGUACUUGGUGUUACUGCGAAGGGGGGACGGAGAAGGCUAUGUUGGCCGGGCGACGGUUGUCCCGGUUUAAGCGUGUAGGCUGGUUUUCCAGGCAAAUCCGGAAAACCAAGGCUGAGGCGUGAUGACGAGGCACUACGGUGCUGAAGCAACAAAUGCCCUGCUUCCAGGAAAAGCCUCUAAGCAUCAGGUAACAUCAAAUCGUACCCCAAACCGACACAGGUGGUCAGGUAGAGAAUACCAAGGCGCUUGAGAGAACUCGGGUGAAGGAACUAGGCAAAAUGGUGCCGUAACUUCGGGAGAAGGCACGCUGAUAUGUAGGUGAAGUCCCUCGCGGAUGGAGCUGAAAUCAGUCGAAGAUACCAGCUGGCUGCAACUGUUUAUUAAAAACACAGCACUGUGCAAACACGAAAGUGGACGUAUACGGUGUGACGCCUGCCCGGUGCCGGAAGGUUAAUUGAUGGGGUUAGCGGUAACGCGAAGCUCUUGAUCGAAGCCCCGGUAAACGGCGGCCGUAACUAUAACGGUCCUAAGGUAGCGAAAUUCCUUGUCGGGUAAGUUCCGACCUGCACGAAUGGCGUAAUGAUGGCCAGGCUGUCUCCACCCGAGACUCAGUGAAAUUGAACUCGCUGUGAAGAUGCAGUGUACCCGCGGCAAGACGGAAAGACCCCGUGAACCUUUACUAUAGCUUGACACUGAACAUUGAGCCUUGAUGUGUAGGAUAGGUGGGAGGCUUUGAAGUGUGGACGCCAGUCUGCAUGGAGCCGACCUUGAAAUACCACCCUUUAAUGU
This 1809-nucleotide ribosomal RNA is filed under the name Escherichia coli. RNAcentral describes it as "partial 23S ribosomal RNA". It matches the Rfam family "Bacterial large subunit ribosomal RNA", at positions 419 to 2213 of the family's 2925-position model. Lineage: Bacteria; Pseudomonadati; Pseudomonadota; Gammaproteobacteria; Enterobacterales; Enterobacteriaceae. The record is from RNAcentral.